AAACUCGGAACAAUACAAACAAUUGUGGCGUCUUCACCGGAAAUGGCAAAAGAAAUUCUACAGAAACACGAUCAGAUUUGCUCCGAUCGGACGGUACCUCACACGGCCCAAGCAGCAAACCACCAUAAGAGUUCAUUAGCCUGGCUACCGGUGGGUACCAAAUGGCGUAAAUUUCGUAAAAUUUGCAAAGAGCACAUGUUCACGGUACAUAAGCUCCAAUCGAGCGAAGGCCUCCGCAAAGAAAAGCUGCAGCAGUUGCGUGAUUACUUGCACGAAUGUUGCAGUAAUAGACGAGUUGUUGAUAUUGGGGAGGUUGCAUUUGUGACCUCCCUUAAUUUGAUUUCAACAACUCUCUUUUCUAUUGAUUUUGCUCGCUUCGGCUCCGAUUCUGCUCAAGAAAUGAAGGGUACUAUCAAGGGCUUGAUGAAGAUUUUAGGGACCCCUAACCUUGCUGAUUACUUCCCGAUUCUUAAGCGGAUCGAUCCACAAGGCCUUAAGCGCGAAUCGGAAGCUUAUGCUGGGAAGUUGCUAACGACAUUCGAUCAAAUAACUAGUGAAAGGUUGCGAUUAAUGGGCAUGUCCUCUUCUGAUUCUCCUAGAAAAAAUGAUUUACUUCAAGUACUUCUCGAUCUCAACCAAGAACGCGAUUCUGACUUGAGCCGCGACGAGUUAAAGCAUUUGUUUUUGGUGAGUAUUAUUUCACCCAUGCAUUUACAAUAUAAUUUUAAUACAAACUACGCGACACAAUGAAACAAAAAAACCAAUAGUGACACCCCAAUGGUUACAAUAUAUAUAUAUAUAUAUAAGAAAUUGUCAUUAAUACUUACAUUAACAACAUCUUGUAUUUUAUCAUUUAUAGGCAAUGUUUGAAUUAUUUUUGGGAGUUAUGGUAUAGUUUCUUGUUGUUGCCACUAAAUUGGUUUUCAGUGUCACCAUGUAGAAUUAGUGAGACACCAAUAGUGACAACAUAGUAAUAGUAUUUUCUUCUUGAGAAUAUAAAAAUAGGUGUUAGUCACACAAAUAAUAUUUUAUGUCAUCAUAAAAGGGAAAUACAUCUCAUACUAAAUAUAAAUUAAUUGUAUUUUAUUUCAGGUCUUAAUUGUUGGUGGAGCAGAUACGAGCACAGAUACCGUGGAAUGGGCAAUGACAGAACUGUUAAGAAAUCCUGAAAUAAUGUCGAAAGCAAAGAAUGAGCUAAGGACUGUGAUUGGAGAAAACAAACAAGUGGAAGAAUCCGAUAUCUCUAAACUCCCUUAUUUACGUGCAGUGAUUAAAGAGACCUUUAGAUUUCAUCCGGUCGCCCCAUUUUUAAUCCCUCACAAGGCAAAUGCUAAUGUAGAAAUGAAUGACUAUAUUAUCCCCAAAGAUGCUCAAAUACUUGUGAAUAUAUGGGCAAUGGGAAGAGACUCAAGUAUAUGGUCAAAUCCAAAUAUCUUUGAGCCUGAACGAUUUUUAGACAGCAAAAUCAACUUCAAGGGCCAUGAUUUUGAGUUCAUUCCCUUUGGUUCGGGAAGGAGAAUAUGCCCUGGGAUGCCAUUGGCGCACAUUAUGGUGCAUCUAAUGGUGGCAUCUUUGAUUCAUGAUUUUGAAUGGAAACUUGAACCAGGGAUAAAACCUGAGGAAAUGGACUUGAAUGAGAUGUUCGGGCUCUCACUCCAUAAGGCAGUGCCUCUUAAGACUUUUCCUGUCAAGUGGUCAUGAAUCGUAAAAAUAAAAGCCCUUUUCAUUCGAUAUGCACAUUUUUUCUCAUUAGUUUGAUAUGCGCGUGAAGAUAAUUAAUGUAAGAUCGAUGUUAAAUCGGCUAACCCUAUACUUGGUGGAGAGUAUAUUUUUCCUAGUUCUUUCCUUGCAACUUUUUCUAGGUUCUUUAUAAACAAGAUUUGGUUGGAGUCAAAAACUAAUAAUCCUAAUCAUAGAAAAGUGUAUGUCAUACACAUUUUGGAGUAGGGAGAUUUUUCUCUUCUUCUUUAUUCUUUUAAUUUCUUGAUCAUAGUGGUAAAGUUCUCCAAGAUAUACUCCCACGCUAUCGGAGAGUACGUGAUGAUUUAUAAGGCUGGGAUUAAGAGUUGGGCUGAAUUCAUAAGUAUUAAGAAAAUGAUUCUAACUUUGAAUAUAUAUAGUCUAUUAUAAAUUAAUGCAGUCGAGACUAUGAAAAUUCUAUUAAUUUAGUGGAAUAUUAAAUUAUCGAAUCAAUGAUCUAGCGCGUCCUCACCGAUUUAGGAUCUAGAGAAAUUAUUAUUUAAGCGAGGUUAUUAAAAUAUCAUGGUUCUACUGUAUUUGGAACGAGAAAGCCAAAAUUCAUGACCUUUGAUGAUUGAUGAAUUAAAUCUUCAUCGCACUUGUAAAAAAGACUUAAGUAAAAUAAAAUUCAAUUAAUUUUUACUAUAUUUUAUUGCCUAUACUCUAUAUUUUUUAACUUUUUAUUUUUCAAUCACUCAUGAUCAUAUCCGACAAUCCUUCGAUCACUCAUGACUAGAUCUAGCCACCCACUAUUAAGUUUGUGAAGGUUCGCUCAAAUCUAGUCACAAAUAACCAACUCGGCAGUGUUUCGAGACGUUGUGGCCGAAAAUCGGGGGUUCCUUGACUGACUCGUCGGUACACGGGUUUUACCCGAUCAAACCGGCUUUUGGUCAUUCGACCAUGGUUUUCAAUUUUCCCGGUUUUCGAUAUCAGACCGGACCACAUUAUCGUCGGGUCACAGUCGAACCGGUCCAACGGGCCGGUUCGGUCCGGUUCUAACAACAUUGGUAAACGGCAUCAUUGAGGGGCGGACCCAGGGUAUUGGGGGUGGGGGGGGGGGCGUGGGCGAAAACAUCUAUUAAAAAUUUUUUUGGCUCAAAAGGGAUUAAAAUUUACUUUUUGGGGCCCACGGGGGUUAUCUUAUAAACACCAUACCCCCAAAUUUUAAAAAAAAUUUNNNNNNNNNNNNNNNNNNNNNNNNNNNNNNNNNNNNNNNNNNNNNNNNNNNNNNNNNNNNNNNNNNNNNNNNNNNNNNNNNNNNNNNNNNNNNNNNNNNNUAUAUAUAUAUAUAUAUAUAUAUAUAUAUAUAGAUAUAUAUAUAUAUAUAGAUAGUGAGUUUUUCUUCGGUUUUCUCGAUUUAUUCCUUCAACAUGUAUGUGGGUGUGUAUGUGGCCAUUUUCCUUGAAGUUUUUUUCGAAUGAAAGACAAGGCCCCGACCCAACGGAUAGACUAACAAGGUCUGCACCUUGAGUCUUAAAAAAAUUAAUUUUUGUAGCGGCCACAAUGGAGAGAUAUCAAAAGGAUGUCAAACACUUAAUUAAUUUUUGUAAGGAAUAAUUAAUUCUUCUUUUUUUUUGCACCUCAAUGUGAUGGAGUAUAAAAAAACCUUUAGAAGGAAUUCUAGGUAUUAAAAAGAUAGGUGGGGUUAGAAUUGUUUUGGGCUAAAAUGGUAUUAAAUUUGAAUUUUGGGGGCUAAUGUGUAUAAAUUAAUAAACAAAUAACACAAAAUAUUAAAAAAUAAUAAUAAAAAAAAAAGAUUAAAAAAAAUCCUGCAGGGGCGCCCCCCCCCGCCCCUAAGGCAUACCUUGGGUCCACCCCUGGCUCAUUAACUCGCCAGUGUUGCUUGCUCGUCUCUGCUUCUCGCAUUGGCAUCACUCCUCCAUGGUGAUCAAGCGAGCUUCCACGGAUUUAAUUCCAGAGAUUGAUGCGAUCCCUAUAAGACAAAUAUAAUGCAAGCUAGAAUACGAGCCUCCAAAUAGUACGUUAUAAAUAAACAUCUAACCAUAUAAUCAGGAGCGGAACCAGGAUUUUUCGGUAGGGGGGGCCGAAAAUUUAAAAGAGUUAAUAAAUAUACGGUGAGGGUUCGGGGGCAGCGCCCCCGAAAUUUUUUAGGGAUAUUUAUGAAGAAAUUAACCAACACAAAUAGUAAUGAAAUACAGUAAACUUAUGUAAAAACAAUAUUCAUAGACUUAUGUAAAAUAAAUUGUAAUAUAAUAUACAUUUAGUUGAAUAAGUAAAAGUGUUUAAAAAAAAUAAAAUCUUGAAAUACAUAGAAAUUCGAUGGAUUGAAAACUUUAAACAUUAAGAAGAAAGAAAAUCAAUACUUUCUUUUUUAUGUUAUAUUAUUUUUCUAUCAUAAGCUUUAAUAGAGAUUAAGAAUUGAGAUUGUGAAAAAUAUUUUAUAGGAUAAAUUAUAAUAGAAAGUUAAUUUAAAAGGUGGAAAUAAUAAUUCAUUUUUUAAUGUGGGCAUAUAUACAUAUUUGUAAAUAAAAAAUAUAUAUAAUAGUAGAUAAAAGUUAAUAUACCAACCAUUACUAAUUAUUUGUGUAUAUAUAUAUCCAUCUAAUAUCUAUAAGUAUUAAACUUCUUUUUUUUUUUUUUUUUUGUUUUUUUUCUUUUUCUUCUUUUUCUUCUUUUGCUUCUUUCUUCUUUCUUUCUUCUUCUUCUAAUUCUUCUUCUUGUUUCUUUUCUUCUUUUUUUUUUUCUUCUUUUUUCUUCUUCUUGUUUUUCUUGUUUUUUGUUCUUCAUCUUCUUUUUUCUUCUUUUUUUUCUUGUUUCUUCUUUUUUUUUUUUUUUUUUUUUUAUGGCACGUGGUGCGUGAAAUUGUAGGUUCUUCAUUUUGUCUUCAUAUUUGGUUGGAGUAGAUGGGUUUGCCCAUUACUAUUUCAUUUGGCGUUUAUUUUGUAUGAUGUUGUCAUUGGUUUGACGCGUUGCUUAUAUGUGUUUACAUUUAGCAUUGUGCGUGAUGUACUUGAUGAGGGGAUCAGACUCUCAAGAUUUUUUGAUGGGGAUCGUGCCCCUUGUUAGACCUCAUGGGUCGUAAAUAUGUUAGGACCGUGGCCACGUUUUAAAUGUAGAACCCAAUAAAGACAGAUAGAGAAGUUUAUAAAAUCAAGCUGGCCAGGCUAUAUAGAUCAUUAUAAAAUCUCUAAGUGUUCCCAGGGUUAAUGUUGACUUGAGAUAAUAAUUAUGUAGUUGUUGAGUAAUAACACCGAGUGUAAGGGAAAUAAUUUGUUUUAUUCAUUGCUUGAAAAUGUGAAGGUUACAAGCCUACUUGAGGCAAAUGUAACUAAACAAGUUGGGAGCGAAUCGCUCAAAAUAACUAAACUUGUACUAAAUAGAUGAUGUAGAUGCUUCGUCCAAUUCAUGUAGAAAGGUGAGGGGAUGCAUCAUCCUUAAGGUAGGAUAGCCCCCCAGUUUAGGAUGAUGCGAUCACUAACAAUGUUAUGAGCUCUAAAGACUCCAAGUAUCAUUGACAUCAUUGGAAGUCCAGAGAUGUAGAAGGAGAUUCUCAAUGAGAUGUCGACGAUUGUCGUCGGACAUCUCGUCGUCGGGUGCUGAAGUGAUCUUCAUCUCUUUUCCUCUUGGGAGGAGCGGGGGUCGAAGCUUCUUCGAUGCGCACGUGUUUCUCAGCGCGACUUAGUAGCUCUUCCAGAUUGGUUGGAGGUCUUCCUGCAAUGGAUUCCUUGAAUCUACCUUCCUUCAAAUUUUGUUGAAUGAUUCCAGCGAGCAUGCUUCCUCCCACGUUAGGAACUUUGUGAGAUGCCUCUACAAAUCGUUGAAUGUAGUUGCGGAGGGUCUCGCCCUCUCUUUGGGUGAUAGUGAAGAGGUACGCAGGAGUCUUAGCGUACUCUUUGUUGAUAGAGAAAUGGUGGGUGAAGCGAUCCGUUAGUUGGGAGAGAGCUUCAAUUGACCCAGUGGGCAAGGAAUUGAACCAGCUCAAUGCUCGUUCAGAGAGCGUUGUGCGAAACAUCUUGCACAUCGCCGCAUCAGUUGGGCCAUAUAGAUCUGCCAUGGCGUAGAACUUUUCAAGGUGCUCCUGUGGGUCACUAGUUCCAUCGAACUGCGGUAGACUCGAGACCUUUACCCGUUGGGGUAGUAUCUCAUUGAUUAUUGCGACAGUGAAGGGACUGCGCCUUAUUGGAGGUAUCGCCCUUCCACCAAUGGGAUUACCUAUGUGGGGAAGGUGAUUUGAACGAGGCACCCGACUGUUAAUUUCAUCAUCUCCACCAUUUCGUGGAGGAGCUCGUUGGCGUGAGGCGUUGCCUCUUGAAGGUGAACGUGGGUCUUGUCGCCCAGUUCGUGCAUUUUGGCGAUGAGUAGAUUGUUGCAUUCGAGACCUAGGGUUUGAGGUGGAUGCGGUAUCCGCUGGCGGUGGAGGAUGUUGUGGCACGGGUGGAGAUGCAAGGGGAGCGCUGACUCCCGUUGUGGCGAUAUAUUGUGCCACUGCUUCAGUGGCAGCACGAGCCGAAACUUCCGCAAUCAUGUGCUGGAGGGCCUCUUCGGUUAUUUGAACCGUUCGGGAAACAAGGAGCGGUGGAGAAGGUAGUGGAGGCUCGAGGAGUGGUGGAUCCUGAGGGGGAUUCACCUGAACCUCGCGAGGUUCCUGAUUACGAGGAGUAAGUGGCAAGCCAGAGCUUCCACGAGGUGGAAGGAUGUUAGCAUUGGUACGUUCUCUCCGAGUAGAUGACUCAGGGACAUCAUGCUUGCUACGUGAUCUUGUAUGCUUUCCCACAGACGGCGCCAUUAUGAUGAUGCUAAAAAUAGAUCACCUUAAGUAGUUGAGAUCGAGGGAGCUGGGAGAGUAAAGUGGAUCACUGCUCACGUGCUAGGUGGCCCUGAGAUACCUACGAACAAAGAACACGUGAACUAAGCCGGGGGUUGAUCCGGCGGAAACCCCUCCGACGCUCAAGUCAGACGUGCGGAUAGUCGGUAAUUGUAGAGAGAAUUCGAAUAGAAGAAUUGAUUGAACAAUAAUAGUGUACCUUCAUUAAACGAACUUAAGUUGUAUUUAUACUCUAUUGAUUGAGCCUAGAUCAAUUUAUCGGGCUCAACCUUAUUCGGUUGUGAUUGGACUUCCGUAGAAAUAACUAUUAAAUUGGGCAUGUGACCCAGUAAAUAUGGGUCUAUUGGGCUGGGCCAAUAGACAUAUCACUUAUUAUUUCCAAAUUGGGUACAAGCAAUAUUUCAAUAUUGACAGGUGUAUAACAUAAUAAUAAAAAGAGCUUGCAAAGGGUGGUAAUGCAAUUAUCCAAAUAUGUUAGGGCUUAUUUUAUAAUUAAAGGAAAAUGGGCGGAAAGAAUGGGUGCAUCAAGCAAUAUUUUGAAAAUUAUUGGGAUAACAUAAUAACAAAAAGGGCUAAUCAUGGGUGGAAAUGUAAUUACCCUCAAAUGUUAGGGCUGAUUUUAUAAUUAAAGGAAAAUGGGGGGAAAGAAUGGGUGCAGCAAGCAAUAUUUUACAAAUUGACUGGUGUAUAAUAUAACAAUAAAAAGGGCUUAUCAGGGGUGGAAAUGUAAUUAUCCAAAAAUGUUAGGGCUGAUUUUAUAAUUAAAGGAAAAUGGGAGGAAAUAAUGGGAAUGGGAGAAAAAAAUGGGUGCAGCAAGCAAUAAUUUAAAAAUGGACAGGUGUAUAACAUAAUAAUAAAAAGGGCUUGCAAACGGUGGUAAUCUAAUUAUCCGAAUACGUUAGGGCUGAUUUUAUGAUUAAAGGAAAAUGGCCGAAAAGAAUGGGUGCAUCAAGCAAUAUUUUAAAAAUUAGUGGGGAAAAUAUAAUAAUAAAAAGGGCUUAUCAAGGAUGGAAAUCUAAUUAUCCAAAAUUGUUAGGGCUGAUUUUAUAAUUAAAGGAAAAUGGGAGGAAAGAACGGGUGCACCAAGCAAUAUUUUGGGGCUAAUAUAAUAAUAAAAAGGGCUUGCAAGGGGUGCAAAUGUAAUUAUCCGAAAAUGUUAUGGGUGGUUUUAUAAUUAAAGGAAAAUGGGAAGAAGGAAUGGGUGCAACAAGCAAUAUUUUAAAAAUUGAUAGGUGUAUAAUACAAUAAUAAAACAAGCCUUGCAAGGGGUGGUAAUGUGAUUAUCCGAAAAUGUUAGGGGUGAUUUUAUAAUUAAAGGAAAAUGGGAGGAAAGAAUGGGUGCAACAAGUAAUAUUUUAAAAAUUACUGCAGGGUAAUAUAAUAAUAAAAAGGGCUUAUCAGGGGUGGAAGUAUAAUUACCCAAAUAUCCGAAAAUGGGCACCAACGCCGCGCAUUGCGCGGUAUAUAUAUAUAUAUAUAUAUAUAUAUAUAUAUAUAUAUGCGAGCUCACUAAAUAAUCGAGAGACGAUAGAGGGAUUAAGGAGCUUAUCUCCAAUCUUCCUUUUUUAGUAGUAAACGGCAAUGUUUUCAGAACCGGACGACCAUUUGGGUUUAUAGGGUCAAAUCGGUUCAACCGGGGUUUUUUUUUUUUGUUUUUUUAAUAUGUCAUUAUUUUAUUAAUUUGAAUGUUUUAACAAUAUUAUUUUCUUUAUAUUUUUAAUAUCCCCACUUAUUAUUUUCACUUUUAUCUACUUCACCUCACUUUUUACUUUAUUUUAUUGCCUAUACUCUAUAAUUUUCAACUUUUUAUUCUUCAAUCACCCAUGAUCAUAUCCGACAAUUCUUCGACCACUAAUGACUAGAUCUGGCCACCCACAAUUAAGUCUGUGAAAGUUCGCUCAAAUCUUUCACAAAUAACCAACUCAGCGGUGAUUCGAGACGUUUUGGCUGAAAAUCGGGUUCCUUGACUGACUCGUCGGUACUCGGGUUUUACCCGGUCGAACCGGCUUUAGGUCAUUCGACCCCGAUUUUCAAUUUUUCCGGUUUUAGAUAUCAGACCGGACCACUUUAUCGUCGGGCCACGGUCGAACCGGUCCGACCGGCCGGUUCGGUCCGGUUCUAACAACAUUGGUAAACGGCGUCAUUCAGGGGCGAACCAAGGGGUAUUGGGUGGGGGGGUAGAAUUUUUUUUGGGCUAAAAUGGUACCAAAUUUGAACUUUGGGGGCUAAAGUGUAUAAAUUAAUAGAUAAAUUUCACAAAAUAUUGAAAAAAAUAAUAAGAAAAAGAUUAAAAAAAAUAAAAAAUAAAAAAAUAAAAAAAAAAUAUUCUUGCAGGGGCGGGCCCCCCAAGGCAUACCUUGGGUCCGCCCCUGGCGUCAUUAACUCGCCGGUGUUGCUCGCUCGUCUUUGCUUCUCGCAUUGGCAUCACUCCUCCAUGGUGAUUAAGCGAGCUUCCACGAAUUUAAUUCCAGAGAUUGAUGCGAUCCCUAUAAGACAAAUAUAAUGCAAGCUACAAUACGAGCCUCCAAGUAGCUAGUACGUUAUAAAUAAACAUCUAACCAUAUAAUGGCAGUGAUCUAUUCAAUAUAACAAGGCGCAAAGUUGCUACAACGUACAACAUACUGCCUAAUUUUAAUAUGCGACACAUUCGAUUCCUAUUGCACUGGACGGUUCGUCGAUUGGAAUUCUUCUGCGUAAAACUAAAAACAUUCAUCACCUGUGAAAAUAAAUUUUAAUGCCCUUUAAUUAAAAGCACUAGGUUUAAAGAAAUCAAACAAGCGCAGGAAGAUCUUUACUAUUCAUAAGCACACAACAUACACAUCCACAUUAGUGUGUGUAGAUCAACGAUACAUAUCCACCCAGUGUAAUCUUCACUGGAUGUAGUAUAUGUAGUAUAGAGUUAACCUUAUCUUAGAUGUGACAUCGUUUGGGAUUGGUAAAAUUGGAAUACAAGAACCAAACUUGCUGAAGUCCAAAAACCAUUCUUAAUUAAUUGGGUUUGGCUAAUCUUUAAUCCAUCUGUCACAUGAAAAGAAAAAUUAAGAUGUUUUAGCUUUUAAAUUUUCAAAACUUGAAACAAAUUCAUAGCCAUUACUUAUAACAGAUUUUAAUCAUUAAUUUCCAUCCGAUGAAUUUUAAUUUGCUCUCACAGAUUUCGGCUUGCCAAACGGAAAAUUCUAAUUCCACCAUUUGUCAAAAAAAGAAAUUAAAGAAAAUAAAAAAAAAUCCAAGGCUUUUAAUAGGAUUGAAAUUUGAAACAUAUAUUUGCCAACUAAUUCGAUUUUUGCCCCGACUUGCAAUACUCAUGCAUUAUGUCUAUUCCUUUUAUAGCAACCUUGCCUAAUUAUUCGGUUUAUGUUAACUUCUUAAAUGGAAAUUAAGUUGCUACACCUAGUUAUUUAUACGUGAUAUAUUUGAACCACAAAUCUACACAUAAUCACACACUCAUGUGUAUAUGUUUAAUUAUAAUUCAUGAAUGUAUAAUUAUCUAACCAAAUAUGGCGUUCAAAUUCACCUAGUGUAAAUAACCAGAUGUACUAGCACUUCUAAAAUGGCCUGUUCUAUGUAACUUUUCCUUUCAUUAUAAUCAUGCCCACAAAGGGCCCUCAUGAAUUUGAUACACAUUAAAUACGACCACAUGGACUUCAAUUUGUGAUUUAUAAUACUUUAUUUUAUUUUUUGCACCAAAAUUGAAGCAUCUGUACAAGACCAUAACCAUAACAGUUUUGCAUCUCUAUAUAAACACUAACCAUAGAUUAAGUACCUUAAUUUCACAAAGAAACACACACAACAAAGAAAAAAAAAAAAAAGAGCCAAUGGAUUUUCUCACACUUUUGCUACUAUUAUUCCCACUCAUUUGGGCAUUUUCUCAUGUCUUGGUAGCAAAAUUCCGGCACACGAAGCUUCCGCCGGGGCCUUUCCCACUUCCGAUCAUAGGCAACUUUCUCCUACUCGGACGAAACCCCCACCGCUCUAUCGCUAAGCUAUCAAAGACUUACGGCCCUUUAAUGUAUCUCAAACUCGGAACCGUACAAACAAUUGUGGCGUCAUAACCAGAAAUGGUAAAAGAAAUUCUACAGAAACACGAUCAAAUUUGCUCCGACCGGACGGUACCUCACACGGCCCAUGCAGCAAACCACCAUAAGAGCUCUUUAGCCUGGCUACCGGUGGGUAACAAAUGGCGUAAACUUCGUAGAAUUUGCAAAGAGCAUAUGUUUACGGUGCAUAAGCUCCAAUCGAGCGAAGGCCUCCGCAAAAAAAAGCUGCAGCAGUUGCACGAUUACUUGCACGAAUGUUGCAGUAAUAGACGAGUUGUUGAUAUUGGGGAGGUUGCAUUUGUGACCUCCCUUAAUUUGAUUUCGACCACUCUCUUUUCUAUUGAUUUUGCCCACUUUGGCUCCAAUUCUGCUCAAGAAAUGAAGGGUACUAUAUAUCAAGAGCCUAAUGAAGAUUUUAGGAACCCCUAACCUUGCUGAUUACUUCCCGAUUCUUAAGCGGAUCGAUCCACAAGGCCUUAAACGCGAAUCGGAAGAUUAUGCUGGGAAGUUGCUAACGACAUUCGAUCAAAUAACUAGUGAAAGGUUGCGAUCGAUUGGCGUGUCCUCUUCCGAUUUUCCUAGAAAAAAUGAUUUACUUCAAGUACUUCUCGAUCUCAACCAAGAACGCGAUUCUGACUUGAGCCGCGACGAGUUAAAGCAUUUGUUUUUGGUGAGUACUAUUUCAUCCAUGCAUUUACAAUAUAAUUUUAACACAAACUACGCGAAACAAGGAAAAAAAACCAAUAGUGACACCCCAAUGGUAACAACAUGAGCUAAUAGCACAUAUCCCCUGUGUUAUUUCUAAUUGGUGAACAACACCUCGUGUUAAAAAUAUUAGCAAAAAAACUCAUGUAUUGUGUUUUUCAAAGCACAUUAGCCCCUGUUUCGAAAUUGAAUGUUGACUUAUAUGAAAUGACUGAACUACCCUUACAAAAGAAAUAUUAAAAAAAAAACGAAAACAUAACAAAACGCAAAUAACAAUUGCAACAAAACCCAACUCAAUGUCUUCUUCUCCAACGAGGUCCCUCUUCUCCAGCACUGUAAAAAAAUAAUGUUGAUUCUUCAAUGUUCAUGCCUCACUUCUCGCCACAAUCAAAUCUCAAGUAAAGGUGGCUGACGGGGGAAAUAGAUGGGCGGGGCGGGGAUUUUGAGAAUUUGGGGUGGAGGGUCAGGGUGUCUAUGGCGAGAAGAGCGGAAGAGGCGGGUGGUGGAAGGAAGGGGUAGCGGCGGCGGCGUGAAAAGGUGAUUGCCGGAGGUGGUGUUGUGAUUUUGGUGGUGGCGGUGAUUUCAAUGGGAAGAAGAAGAAUUUUGGGGAAGACAUGUUCUUUCUCUCUGUUUGGAGUUAGCAGCUUGACGAGGUGAUUGCUGCUGGUGGUGGUGGGAGUUUGUUGGUGGUCGUGGCGAUUUCAGUGGAGGAGAAUAAUUUUGGGAAGACGCAAUUUAUUUUUCUUCAUUUAACAAAUUUUAAAAAUUGCAAUUUGAUCCAAAGUUUUGGAUUAUUUAUAUUUAAAUUAAAUUGGAUUUAUUUCUUUACAAAAUAAUCAGAGGGUAUUUUCGAAUUUUCAAGUAGAAACACACACUCUUACAUGCACAAUUCGCGCUUGCGCUAUACGAUGAGUUGUAGGGUUUUUUUUUGCGUUAACUUAUUUUCAUAGGGGGGUCGUUGCUAAUUGUUUUUACACGAUGUGGUUUUUAGCAAUUAGAGAUUUCAAAGGGCUAGAUUUUGCAAAAAAACCCUAACAAUAUAUAUAAGAAAUUGUCAUUAAAAUACUUACAUUAAGGAACAUCUUGUAUUUUAUCACUUAUAAGAAAUGUUUGGAUUCAUUUUGGGAGUUAUGAUAUAGUUUCUUAUUGUUGCCACUAACUCGGUUUUCAGUGUCACCAUGUUGAAUUAGUGAGACACCAAUAGUAACACCAUAGUAAUAGUAUUUUCUUCCUAAGAAUAUAAAAAUAGGUGUUGUCACACAAAAGCUUAUUUUAUAUAGUGAUAAAAGGGAAACAUAUCUCAUACGAGAUAUAAAUUAAUUGUACUUUAUUUCAGGUCUUAAUUGUUGGUGGAGCAGAUACGAGCACAGAUACCGUGGAAUGGGCAAUGACAGAACUAUUAAGCAAUCCUGAAAUAAUGUCCAAAGCAAGGAAUGAGCUAAGGACUGUGAUUGGAGAAAACAAACAAGUGGAAGAAUCCGAUAUCUCGAAACUCCCUUAUUUACGUGCAGUGGUUAAAGAGACCUUUAGAUUUCACCCGGUCGUCCUGUUUUUAAUCCCUCACAAGGCAAAUGCGAACGUAGAAAUGAAUGGCUACAUUAUCCCCAAAGAUGCUCAAAUACUUGUGAAUAUAUGGGCAAUGGGAAGAGACUCAAGUAUAUGGUCAAAUGCAGAUAUGUUUGAGCCUGAACGAUUUUUAGACAGUAAAAUCGACUACAAGGGCCAUGAUUUUGAGUUCAUUCCCUUCGGUUCAGGAAGGAGAAUAUGCCCCGGGAUGCCACUGGCUCACAUUAUGGUGCAUCUAAUGGUGGCAUCUUUCAUUCAUAACUUUAAAUGGAAACUUGAACCCGGGAUGAAAUCUGAGGAACUCGACUUGAGUGAGAUGUUCGGGCUUUCACUCCAUAAGGCAGUGCCACUUAAGGCUUUUCCUGUCAAGUGGCCAUGAAUCAUAAAAAAUAAAUACCCUUUUCAUUCGAUAUACACAAUUGUUCUUAUUGUAAUAUUUUUUGUUGGGUAAAUUAUCAAAAAUCCAUGAACAAAAGUCUAAUAACCAAAAAGUCCCUCAAGUAUUCAUAUUUGUUGUUGAAUAUUCGCAUCUUCAAGUAAUUUUUGUUAUCUCAGUUGUUUUGAUAUAAGUUGUUAUAUUAGGACUCAUUUAAUAUACUCCCUGGAGUGUUACUAAACUAGCAAAAAACCAAAGCCCAAAUCAUUCUUUGACAUACCCACCGAAGAAGUAAAAGUACUAUACUAGCCCCACAUGCAAUUUUCGCCCAACUACAUUCAACAUUGUUGAAGGUUUUAAGAUUUACGAGCUUUAGAUAAAUGAAAACGGUUGAGGAUAGUUUCUUAUGUUGCAAGCUCCUUGUAUUUUGAUUUAUUUUUGCAAUAUUGACAGUAGAUCGAAGUUUGAAUCCUGAAUUUCAAAGUAUUUUCUGUUGAUUUGUUAUCUGUCAUGAAAUGGUGAGUGAUAAUGGCACAGUAACAUUAUGACAUAAUAUGCAUAUUUGGAAUUAGUUUGAAUUUUGGAAUAGUAACUUUUUGCCGAAUUGAUUUUAAUUAUUUUGAACUGGUAAAUAAUGAUGACAUAUUGGCACUAAUCUUCAUAUCUUUAUUCCAAAAUUAAAUUUUUUUAUGUGAAUUAAGUGGCAAAUAUAUUCUCAACCGACCCAUUAGGAAACCGACUUAUCAUGUGUGAUCGCUAAUGGAUUAUAUGCAGAUAAUAACAUGUAUUUUUCCAUCCAUUAACCGCUUAAUGACCCUAUUCCAUCCGUCCAAAUAUCCUCUAUAUACAUACACAUAACGCAAAUGAUAAUAUUGCUUAUUUGCCUCGACGAUGUGGGGUAUAUUAUUUUCAGUUUUGUAGUUUGUAAAUAAAUGUAUCAAUAUUUUCUUACUUUGCAUAUGUAUUUUAUAUUUCAGUGUUUAUAUAUAUUAAGUUCGGGUACUGCAAUUUUUUGUAUUCGAAAUUUUGAAUUUGCUGAAAAAACCUAUCAGGAUUUCAAGUAGCUUUACCCGAAACCCCUUCUAGAGUGUCGCGUACCUUUAUACGCAGUUAAGUUUUUAAUUUGUUUUUCCACAAAGUUGGGUAGUUGUACAAAUGUUUAUGUAAUAUAAGUCAUAAGAUGUAAAAAUGAAAUGUUACCUUAAGAUAUGUUGCAGUACGAGAACACAUGAUCAAAAUUAUAUGUUGUUUGUUUAAAAAGAUUUUGAGAAUUAUGCUUGAAAACCAUAAAUUAAAUAUCAUCUAUAAACAAAAUAUCAAUUAUUUAAAUAAUCCUUCAAUUGUUUUUUAUAAAAUUCCUUCUGUUUUUAGUACUGGGAUAGAUUUAUUGAUCCUACUUCUAUUUUGUUUUUUUUUUUAUAAAUUAGUAUAAAAGUGUAUUUUGGUUCAAACUUCAAAUACAGAAGACGUAUUGAGUGAAUUGGUCAUCUUAUUUUUAGAAAAAUAUUUAUGAAAAUAAUAGAAUAUAAAGAUUUAAUGAAUAUAUUUAGAGUGGUGCUAUUUCCAUCUCCAAAUUAUUUCAAUUCACCACCAAAGAUUAUAAAAUUGCAUAAAUACCCCUGAAAUUUAUAAUCAACCACUCUUUCUUGUAUUCACUUAAUCAUCAUGUGUUCCAAGUUAUUUCUAUUUUAUUUUAUUAUUUUUUAAUUUUUUUUUAAUUUUUUUUUAUUAUCUUCUUACUUUUUACAAUAAAAUAUUUAUUACAAGAUAUUUAAAUUAAACUUCCGUAUCGGAUGAGCAACAAAUUAUGCAAUUUUAUUUUUAGGAAACGAAAUUAUAUUAAGCCAAACUGACAAAUUAUGGAGGAAGUUCAGGGCCUUAAUCUUAAUUUAUUUCUCAAAAACCGCAAAUAGUCCUGCUCUUUUUGACCUUUCAAAAUAUUUUUCUCUGACAAAAGUAUUAUUCACUUAAGGUGGAGAGGGUGAGAUUUCCAGUGAAAACGGUGUGAUUUUUUUUAUAUAAAUAUUUUAAUUUGUUUAGUUGUAGAUGGUUUAUAGAUUUGUAAAAAAUAAAGGUAAAAGAAGAAGAAAAUGGUUAAAUUAAAAAUAUAUUUAAUUUAGUGGUGAAAUACCACGUUAUACUUGUAGUCUCAAAACCAUAUAGCCGGCCCUGUCUACACUAACUUUUAAAUGUCAUUUAAAGUUAUCACUUUUUCAACUCUUGGAAAAAGGUUUGGUUUCGAAUACAAUUUUCUUCAGAUUAAGAAGGAUAUUUCUCAAUCAUAUUUAUGAUGAUAUUGACUACGGUGGUGUUUACCAACCAUCAUUAGAAAAGUUGGUACUCAACCUUUACUAUUAGAGUAGAUGUCUAGACUUUGGAUCCUACCCCACCCCUAUUUCCCCAGUUGUAAUGGAUUUGAAUAUUGCAAAAAAAAACUACGGUAGUAUUUUCAAAACAUUUUUAAAAAGUUGAAGUUGGUAAUUAUGAGUUAAGUUAGUAAUAAGUGCUUAUGUUAAAAAGUUGUUGGUGUUUGCAAACUCUAUAGAAAAAUCAAUUUUAAGCAACUUAUUUUAGGAGAAGUUGUUCAAUGAGUGUUUUUAAUAUUUUAGUUUAAAUCGGUCUAUCUUAACUGGAGGAAAAGAAAAAAUUGGUAUUGCAACCACUUUAAAAGUGAUUCUGAAUAAAAAAGAAAAAAAACUGAAAAUCACUUUUUAGAAGUUUUUGCAAACACCAUACAUCUAUGUUGAAACUUAAUAUUUUAUGAUUUUUCCUUGGUAUAUAAUACAUGAAGUUUUCUAGUAUUGUGGAACUCGGUCUUUCAAAUUGGUAACUAAUAGAGUUUAGUUCAACUUUAGGCGAAUACUAAUCGAAUUCGACUUGAGCCGAGAUUUUCAUAGCUUAUCAAACGAGAAUAUAGUUGAAGAUUGGUUCAAUUUGGUAAUAAAUAGAGUUCAAACGAGCUUUAACGGACAAUCUAAACUAGAUGUGAUAGAUUGGUACAAUUUAUAAUAGCUCUAGUAACCUAAUUGUUUACUUGUAUAAUUCAGAUCCAAUAUAUUAAUUGUUACAUUUAAACAACUACUACCUAGCUACCAAGUAGGCAUACCAAUAUUCAUAGAAACUCAAUGUAUUAAAUAUUCUUCUACGACAUUUUUCAAAUUUCAUGUAUAUAAAUAUGUCAUAUGUAUACCUUGGUUACUCAAAUCAAAUAAAGUUGAUACAAUGGAUUUUCUUAGGAUUUUGGUAAUACUAUACACAAUAAUAUGCCUAUGGAUAUUUCUUCAUCUCUUUGGAUACUACAAAAGAUCAUCAUCGAAGCUUCCACCGGGUCCUUUCCCUCUUCCGAUCAUAGGCAACCUUCUCCUACUCGGACGAAACCCCCACCGCUCUCUGGCGAAGCUAUCAAAGACUUACGGCCCUAUAAUGUAUCUCAAACUCGGAACCGUACAAACAAUUGUGGCAUCUUCACCAGAAAUGGCAAAACAAAUUCUACAUAAACACGAUCAGAUUUGUUCCAAUCGGAUGGUACCUGACACGGCCCAUGUAGCAAACCACCACACGAGCGCUUUAUCCUGGCUGCCGGUGGGAAACAAAUGGCGUACACUUCGUAAAAUCUGCAAAGAGCACAUGUUUACGGUGCAUAAGCUCCAAUUGAGUGAAAGCCUCCGCCAAGAAAAGCUGCAGCAGUUGCGUGAUUACUUGCACGAAUGUUGCAGUAAUACACGAGUUGUUGAUAUUGGGGAGGUUGCGUUUGUGACCUCCCUUAAUUUGAUUUCGACAACUCUCUUUUCUAUUGAUUUUGCUCACUUCGACUCUGAUUCUGCUCAAGAGAUGAAGGGUACUAUAAAUGGG
RNAcentral lists this long non-coding RNA (17062 nucleotides) under Erythranthe guttata (spotted monkey flower). Its description in RNAcentral is "long non-coding RNA (EGUT_LNC002818)". The record is from RNAcentral. Lineage: Eukaryota; Viridiplantae; Streptophyta; Magnoliopsida; Lamiales; Phrymaceae.